GACGAACGCUGGCGGCGUGCCUAAUACAUGCAAGUAGAACGCUGAAGGAGGAGCUUGCUUCUCCGGAUGAGUUGCGAACGGGUGAGUAACGCGUAGGUAACCUGCCUGGUAGCGGGGGAUAACUAUUGGAAACGAAAGCUAAUACCGCAUAAGAGUAGAUGUCGCAUGACAUUUGCUUAAAAGGUGCAACUGCACCACUACCAGAUGGACCUGCGUUGUAUUAGCUAGUUGGUGAGGUAACGGCUCACCAAGGCAACGAGACAUAGCCGACCUGAGAGGGGGAUCGACCACACUGGGACUGAGACACGGCCCAGACUCCUAAGGGAGGCAGCAGUAGGGAAUCUUCGGAAAUGGACGGAAGUCUGACCGAGGAACGCCGCGUGGGUGAAGAAGGUUUUCGGAUCGUAAAGCUCUGUUGUAAGAGAAGAACGAGCGUGAGAGUGGAAAGUUCACACUGUGACGGUAUCUAAACAGAAAGGGACGGCUAACUACGUG
This 495-nucleotide ribosomal RNA is filed under the name uncultured bacterium. Its description in RNAcentral is "partial 16S ribosomal RNA". It matches the Rfam family "Bacterial small subunit ribosomal RNA", at positions 28 to 507 of the family's 1533-position model. The record is from RNAcentral.